Molecule: ribosomal RNA, 435 nt
Filed under: uncultured Roseburia sp.
Lineage: Bacteria; Bacillati; Bacillota; Clostridia; Lachnospirales; Lachnospiraceae
Description: partial 16S ribosomal RNA
Rfam family: Bacterial small subunit ribosomal RNA
Source: RNAcentral
ACGGAAGGCAGCAGUGGGGGAUAUUGCACAAUGGGGGAAAGCCUGAUGCAGCGACGCCGCGUGAGUGAAGAAGUAUUUCGGUAUGUAAAGCUCUAUCAGCAGGGAAGAAGAAUGACGGUACCUGACUAAGAAGCACCGGCUAAAUACGUGCCAGCAGCCGCGGUAAUAAGUAUGGUGAAAGCGUUAUCCGGAUUUACUGGGUGUAAAGGGAGCGCAGGCGGUACGGCAAGUCUGAUGUGAAAGCCCGGGGCUCAACCCCGGUACUGCAUUGGAAACUGUCGAACUAGAGUGUCGGAGGGGUAAGUGGAAUUCCUAGUGUAGCGGUGAAAUGCGUAGAUAUUAGGAGGAACACCAGUGGCGAAGGCGGCUUACUGGACGAUAACUGACGCUGAGGCUCGAAAGCGUGGGGAGCAAACAGGAUUAGAUACCCUGGUA